This 1555-nucleotide ribosomal RNA is filed under the name human gut metagenome. RNAcentral describes it as "bacterial LSU rRNA". It matches the Rfam family "Bacterial large subunit ribosomal RNA", at positions 852 to 2423 of the family's 2925-position model. The record is from RNAcentral.
GUUCUCCUCGAAAUAGCUUUAGGGCUAGCCUCAUGGAUCAUUGGUGGGGGUAGAGCACUGAAUGUGCGCGGGGGCCACAAAGCCUACCAAACGCUAUCAAACUUCGAAUACCAUACAAUGCAGACCAUGGGAGUCAGUCCGCGAGAGAUAAGUUCCGCGGGCAAAAGGGGAACACCCCAGAUCAACCGCUAAGGUCCCCAAGUUCACGUUAAGUGGAGAAGGAUGUGGAAUUGCACAGACAACCAGGAUGUUGGCUCAGAAGCAGCCACACAUUUAAAGAGUGCGUAAUAGCUCACUGGUCGAGUGAUUGUGCGCCGAAGAUGUCCGGGGCUAAACGUGACACCGAAGCGAUGGGUGCAUCUGAAAGGAUGCGCGGUAGAGGAGCAAUGUGCAGAGGCAGAAGCCGUAUCGAGAGGCACGGUGGACACUGCACAAGAGAGAAUGCCGGUAUGAGUAGCGAGAGGCAUGCGAGAAACAUGCCCGUCGAAAGCCCAAGGUUUCCUGGGGAAGGUUCAUCCGCCCAGGGUAAGUCGGGGCCUAAGCCGAGGACGGAAGUCGUAGGCGAUGGACAGCAGGUGUAGAUUCCUGCACUACCGAUGGAAUGAAGCAGUGACACAGAAGGAUAACUCGAGCAGGGUGAUGGUCAACCCUGUGCAAGCAUCAAGGUUGGGUUGUAGUGAAGUACGCAACCCUAUAAGCUGAGAUGUGAUGCGGACCGAAAUUUCAGUAGGGAAGCGAGUGAGUUCACGCUGGCGAGAAAAGCUGCUAGUAUAUCCAAAGGUACCCGUACCGGAAACCGACGCAGGUGGGCGAGGAGAGAAUCCUGAGACGAACGGGAGAACCCUUGUUAAGGAACUCGGCAAAAUGACCCCGUAACUUCGGGAUAAGGGGUGCCUGCGAGAGCAGGCCGCAGAGAAUAGUCACAAGCGACUGUUUAGCAAAAACACAGGUAUCUGCGAAAGCGAGAGCUGACGUAUAGGUGCUGACACCUGCCCGGUGCUGGAAGGUUAAGGGAACAUGUUAGAGCAAUCGAAGCAUCGAACCGAAGCCCCAGUAAACGGCGGCCGUAACUAUAACGGUCCUAAGGUAGCGAAAUUCCUUGUCGGGUAAGUUCCGACCCGCACGAAUGGUGUAACGACUUGUGAGCUGUCUCAACAGGGGGCCCGGUGAAAUUGAAGUAUGGGUGAAGAUGCCCAUUACCCGCGACUGGACGGAAAGACCCCGUAGAGCUUUACUGCAGCCUGAUAUUGAGUUUCGGUAACUGAUGCACAGGAUAGGUGGGAGUCUGAGAGACAUGGGUUUUGGCUCGUGUGGAGACGCUGUUGGGAUACCACUCUUCGGUUACUGAAAUUCUAACAUAGCUCUGUGAAACCAGAGGAUGGACAGUGUCAGGUGGACAGUUUGACUGGGGCGGUCGCCUCCGAAAGAGUAACGGAGGCGCCCAAAGGUACCCUCAGAAUGGAUGGAAACCAUUCGAAGAGCGCAAAGGCAGAAGGGUGCCUGACUGCGAGAGUGACAACUCGAGCAGAGACGAAAGUCGGGCUUAGUGAUCCGG